UAAUACGGAGGAUCCAAGCGUUAUCCGGAAUCAUUGGGUUUAAAGGGUCCGUAGGCGGUCAGAUAAGUCAGUGGUGAAAGCCCAUCGCUCAACGGUGGAACGGCCAUUGAUACUGUCUGACUUGAAUUAUUAGGAAGUAACUAGAAUAUGUAGUGUAGCGGUGAAAUGCUUAGAGAUUACAUGGAAUACCAAUUGCGAAGGCAGGUUACUACUAAUAUAUUGACGCUGAUGGACGAAAGCGUGGGUAGCGAACAGGAUUAGAUACCCUGGUAGUCCACGCCGUAAACGAUGGAUACUAGCUGUUGGGAGCAAUCUCAGUGGCUAAGCGAAAGUGAUAAGUAUCCCACCUGGGGAGUACGAACGCAAGUUUGAAACUCAAAGGAAUUGACGG
Molecule: ribosomal RNA, 391 nt
Filed under: uncultured Flavobacterium sp.
Lineage: Bacteria; Pseudomonadati; Bacteroidota; Flavobacteriia; Flavobacteriales; Flavobacteriaceae
Description: bacterial SSU rRNA
Rfam family: Bacterial small subunit ribosomal RNA
Source: RNAcentral